Molecule: transfer RNA, 72 nt
Filed under: Pangasianodon hypophthalmus (striped catfish)
Lineage: Eukaryota; Metazoa; Chordata; Actinopteri; Siluriformes; Pangasiidae
Rfam family: tRNA
About the family: Transfer RNA (tRNA) molecules are approximately 80 nucleotides in length. Their secondary structure includes four short double-helical elements and three loops (D, anti-codon, and T loops). Further hydrogen bonds mediate the characteristic L-shaped molecular structure. tRNAs have two regions of fundamental functional importance: the anti-codon, which is responsible for specific mRNA codon recognition, and the 3' end, to which the tRNAs corresponding amino acid is attached (by aminoacyl-tRNA synthetases). tRNAs cope with the degeneracy of the genetic code in two manners: having more than one tRNA (with a specific anti-codon) for a particular amino acid; and 'wobble' base-pairing, i.e. permitting non-standard base-pairing at the 3rd anti-codon position.
Source: Rfam by way of RNAcentral
UCCCUGGAGGACUAGUGGUUAGGCUACAGCACUCUCACCACUGCAGCCCGGGUUCGAUUCCCGGCCAGGGAA